Molecule: ribosomal RNA, 253 nt
Filed under: uncultured bacterium
Lineage: Bacteria
Description: partial 16S ribosomal RNA
Rfam family: Bacterial small subunit ribosomal RNA
Source: RNAcentral
UACGUAGGGUGCGAGCGUUAAUCGGAAUUACUGGGCGUAAAGCGUGCGCAGGCGGUUUUGUAAGCCAGAUGUGAAAUCCCCGGGCUUAACCUGGGAAUGGCAUUUGGGACUGCAAGGCUGGAGUGUGGCAGAGGAGACUGGAAUUCCUGGUGUAGCAGUGAAAUGCGCAGAUAUCAGGAGGAACACCGGUGGCGAAGGCGGUUCUCUGGGCCUGUACUGACGCUGAGGAACGAAAGCGUGGGGAGCGAACAGG